Molecule: ribosomal RNA, 253 nt
Filed under: uncultured bacterium
Lineage: Bacteria
Description: partial 16S ribosomal RNA
Rfam family: Bacterial small subunit ribosomal RNA
Source: RNAcentral
UACGUAGGGUGCGAGCGUUGUCCGGAAUUAUUGGGCGUAAAGAGCUCGUAGGCGGUCUGUCGCGUCGGUUGUGAAAGCCCGGGGCUUAACUCCGGGUCUGCAGUCGAUACGGGCAGGCUAGAGUUCGGCAGGGGAGACUGGAAUUCCUGGUGUAGCGGUGAAAUGCGCAGAUAUCAGGAGGAACACCGGUGGCGAAGGCGGGUCUCUGGGCCGAUACUGACGCUGAGGAGCGAAAGCGUGGGGAGCGAACAGG